Molecule: ribosomal RNA, 489 nt
Filed under: uncultured bacterium
Lineage: Bacteria
Description: partial 16S ribosomal RNA
Rfam family: Bacterial small subunit ribosomal RNA
Source: RNAcentral
AGUGAACGCUGGCGGUAGGCCUAACACAUGCAAGUCGAACGGCAGCACAGUAAGAGCUUGCUCUUACGGGUGGCGAGUGGCGGACGGGUGAGGAAUACAUCGGAAUCUACUUUUUCGUGGGGGAUAACGUAGGGAAACUUACGCUAAUACCGCAUACGACCUACGGGUGAAAGCAGGGGAUCUUCGGACCUUGCGCGAUUGAAUGAGCCGAUGUCGGAUUAGCUAGUUGGCGGGGUAAAGGCCCACCAAGGCGACGAUCCGUAGCUGGUCUGAGAGGAUGAUCAGCCACACUGGAACUGAGACACGGUCCAGACUCCUACGGGAGGCAGCAGUGGAAUAUUGGACAAUGGGCGCAAGCCUGAUCCAGCCAUACCGCGUGGGUGAAGAAGGCCUUCGGGUUGUAAAGCCCUUUUGUUGGGAAAGAAAAGCAGCAGGUUAAUACCCCGCUGUUCUGACGGUACCCAAAGAAUAAGCACCGGCUAACUUCGU